GUUUAAACAAACGUUAGCCAAAUUUGUACUAUUAUCAUUAUUCAUUUUUGAGAAUAGUAUAGAAAUAGCUCUAAUUCUGCCAUCGUCUGAACUCUGGAUAGUCCAUUGCAAAAUACGUUUCCUUGACAAAUGGAGAAAUUUACGAAAAAUGUUAACGAAGGGUCAUUAGGCAAACAUUUGAGGCGUGGGCUCUGGACGGGAAACUAAAGUUUAAUUUGGAAUGGUCUAAUUUGCACUAAGUGAAUGAAAUUAUUUAAAAUUGUUAUACCUGUCACGUUUUAGGGGGAGUUUACUAUUUUUAGACUUUUGUAAUUUUGUACUAUUUUGUAUUUUAAACUUAAGCCCCGUUUACACUACGCUUAAUUUUUGGUACCGUACCACUUUUUUGUUUCUUGGACUACCUAAAUAGGUAGUCCAAAGCCCCGUUUACACUACGCUCAAUUUUUGGUACGGCACGGAUAAAAUUGGUACCCGCACCACUUUUUUGGUUCUUGGACUACCUAUUUAGGUAGUCCAAGAACCAAAAAGUGG
Paramuricea clavata is the source of this 531-nucleotide non-coding RNA. The record is from the annotation of a GenBank genome assembly. Lineage: Eukaryota; Metazoa; Cnidaria; Anthozoa; Malacalcyonacea; Plexauridae.